UAAGCAUGAAGCCCCCCUCAAGAUGAGAUUUCCCAUUCCUAUAAGGAAGUAAGAUCCCUGAAAGAUGAUCAGGUUGAUAGGUCUGAGGUGGAAGUGUGGCGACACAUGGAGCUGACAGAUACUAAUCGAU
RNAcentral lists this ribosomal RNA (130 nucleotides) under Bacillus licheniformis. RNAcentral describes it as "partial 23S ribosomal RNA". It matches the Rfam family "Bacterial large subunit ribosomal RNA", at positions 2782 to 2909 of the family's 2925-position model. Lineage: Bacteria; Bacillati; Bacillota; Bacilli; Caryophanales; Bacillaceae. The record is from RNAcentral.